Molecule: long non-coding RNA, 2222 nt
Organism: Magallana angulata
Lineage: Eukaryota; Metazoa; Mollusca; Bivalvia; Ostreida; Ostreidae
Exons: 4
Source: RefSeq, a predicted model, not a curated record
CUGCUCUUUUUAAUCUUCGUGUGAUCUAACCUAUGAUACAGAGUGUGCGGUCAUCCCUGCUCUGUAUUGCAAUAAUACAAGUGUGUGGUUAUCCCUGCUUGUAUUGGUUGUGAAUGCGGCGGAGCACUAGUGUAUGGUCAUCCCUGCUGGUGUUGUGUCCUUUCUUGAGCAAAUGUGCGCCCAUCCCUGCUUGCGUUAACGUUUGUACCUGUUGAGUUGCGUAGGUGUGCGGUCAUACAUGUCUGCGUAACGUUGAGUCCCAAUAAAUGUGCAGGAGCGGUGAUUAAAGUCUGCUCUUGUAGAUAUUGGCAGCAAUCAGGACUGGAAGAGUCUACUACCUAACCCAGUCGGGAAGUUCGGAAAAAAGAAAUCCGGUAGGUUUUUUUUUAUUAUACAAGAACAGUAAUAUCGAGCCCGAUUACGAUUUCGCAGAAGAAAUUGCGGACUUACGACUACAAACGCGUUUGCGGGAUGUUAACGUAAGACUGAAAAUACAUAUAAUAACGAGUAAGUAAGUACAAAAUAUGAUAAAUGGAAUGGCCACGAAGCAUUUAUUGGGUAUUUGACAUAACUACAGGCUUUAAAAUAGUGAGAACUCAGGUACCGGUGUAGUUUUACAUAUAAACAUGUCUAGACUAUAAAUAUCUAUUCUGUCUGUGAUGAUAUGAUACUGUAUAUCAACUUUUAUUUUUAUUUAUGUGCGAAAAAUUCAAAGACGCUUGUUAGAGUCUCAUUGUUGCAGAUAUUUCUCUCUACGGAUCAUUAUUUGCCAUUGACUUUCUGAUGAACAAAUAUGCAUAGGAUCAUAAUGCAGCACCUGAAAACCAAGCCACACCAAUCACAACAGGUUCCCCUACAUAGUCACACAGUUCAAAUGUUGAAUUUCCAUGACCCAGAUUGAAUGCACCAGAAGCAGUGGCACCAUCACUUGUGAAAUGGGAAAUGACGAGUGGACGGUCAUCACUUUGCAAUUCACCGAUGCAUUUCACAGGUCAUCUCUUUUAAUCUCUAAUAGUGGUCUCUGGAGGAAUGGUUGCAUUGCAGUUUUCAUGUCCUGGGCAGGUAACUUCCUUUUCAUGAGCUCUAAGAUUGGCACCUUUCUUGCACAGUUUAUAAAACACUGCCACAACAUUAUUUUUCACUAAAAGUGUAUGUCACUUGUGUGGCAGCUUGGCCUGAUGUUUACCCGAUGGCACUGAAAGUGGCAUUGUUAUACAAGGCAUAUCGUUCUGCUCUCAUAGGUGUAUUGGUAUGCCCUAAUUUUUAACUCACCGAAAUGAAGUCGUGGGGAUCUUAUGCUAUACACUCGGUGUUGGUGUUUUUUUAAACUCCGUCUCCAAUGAAAAUAGGAAAGGGGCAACUAUAUAUCACAUCCAUGAUAUUUUGAACCCGCUCUUGAGUUGCAAUUGAAUAGCAGAGGGGCAGGUUGUCUCUAAAAAUUAAAGUAGAAGGACGAAAUAAAAAGUAGAAAGGGGAUCAGGGGGUCUUGCUUAUAGCUACAUUGUGUUGAAAUGCAAUAAUAGCCGGGUAAUUAAGGCAUUAUAGGCGGUGGAAUUCCCCACCUCUCGGGUCUUAAAGACCACCCUAGAGGUGGGUUCGAUAUUUUAUUGGCGGGGUGGGGGGUCAAUAUAUCACAGCAAUAUUUAACCCAGGUUCAAUAUUUAUCGGGGUUCAAAAUAUUAUAACAGUGGGACGGACAACUUCGGAAUGGACAUUUUUCCGGCGUUGCGCACCCCUUUCCAUACACACUAUCGACCAAAGUUUAGUACCGAAUGGUGUUGUUUUUUUUAUUCUAAAUGAAUUCAUGGGGAAAGAAAUUGAAAUAUUUUAGAUAGUUUUUUAGACAUUUGAACUUAAAAGUUCCAACCCCAUGGGACAAAGGUAAUAACUGUAUUGUUUUUUUUGGUGAUAUUCAGUCAUUUAAGCGAUUCCGAUUUUUCUCUUCGGAGUUUGUUUGACCUUCUCGAGAUCACGGCAAUUUUUACAAAACAGCAAAUGUGCAAAAAACCCAUAGUAAAUGCAUUGAGGUUAUUUAAAGUGCUUUUUGGAUACUAAAAACAGAUUUCGCUGGCUAAUAGGUUUAAAAUAAAAGAUGUGAAACUCCUAGUUAAUUAUGGGCUUGAAGUUUGUGUACUCAUCAAUAUUUGUAUCCCUGAAGAUGAUGAAUGUGGACUAAUAGCUGAGCCUCAACAACAAUUGCUGCAGAAAACUUUGAUGAUAUA